CACACAUCAGAGUUGUAAUCAGAGGAGUAGACAUUACUUGUUUCAGUUUCAUCCAAGUUCCUACAGGCAUUUGGUACAGAAUCAGAGUCCCAAAUGGGCACAUUUGCUUGGCCAAGCUUAAGUCACAGGCUUUUCUAACUGCCAAAGGAAAAAAAAAAAAGAAGAAGAAGAAGGAAAACAUAUGCCAUAGUAUGAUAUAGGGCUCUUUCUCGAACUUUUCUAGGAAUUUCUCCAAAAUUAGAAGGGCAUUCAAAUGCCUGAGAAUGGAGAGCAACUUGUAAUUGCCUGUAUACUUGCCUUCACGCACAGUAAGAGCCUAUGUAAUCAACCUAAUCUCCAUGAAUAACGUGCCUAUGGGAGAAUUUAUUCUUCAUUUCAAAUUGGAACUCUAAAAAUAUAUCUCCCUUUACUGUGUACAUAAUAUCAGAACUGGAGAUUCUCCCUGUUCCAAAUUAUUUAUGGAAGUUCCUGUGGCCUACUGCGGAGUCUUUAAGAAGGGAAAACCUGGGGAAUGAAUGAGGAUGAAGUACGGAGCAUUCUAAAGAAUGAGAAUUUCUUGUCAGCAUAAAACCUCUGAGGUGACUUUUC
Molecule: long non-coding RNA, 588 nt
Organism: Pongo pygmaeus (Bornean orangutan)
Lineage: Eukaryota; Metazoa; Chordata; Mammalia; Primates; Hominidae
Exons: 2
Source: RefSeq, a predicted model, not a curated record